Molecule: ribosomal RNA, 1018 nt
Filed under: uncultured bacterium
Lineage: Bacteria
Description: bacterial SSU rRNA
Rfam family: Bacterial small subunit ribosomal RNA
Source: RNAcentral
GAGCCGAGCGGCUUUCUAUACGUGCAAGUUGACGGGAUUCAGUUGGAAGUAGCAAUAUGGAAGAGUGAUGAGAGUAGCGCUCGGGUGCGUAACACGUAUGCAACCUACCUUUAACCGGGACAUAACCACGAGAAAUUGUAGCUAAUAUCCCAUGUGAUUACGUUUUGGCAUCAAGAUGUAAUUAAAAUUCAGAUGGUUAAAGAUGGGCAUGCGUCCCAUUAGCUAGUUGGUGAGGUAACGGCUCACCAAGGCCACGAUGGGUAGGGGUUCUGAGAGGAUGAUCCCCCACACUGGUACUGAGACACGGACCAGACUCCUACGGGAGGCAGCAGUAAGGAAUAUUGGUCAAUGGACGCAAGUCUGAACCAGCCAUGCCGCGUGCAGGAAGACGGCCCUAUGGGUUGUAAACUGCUUUUGUACGGGAAGAACUACAUUUACGUGUAAAUGUUUGACGGUACCGUAAGAAUAAGGAUCGGCUAACUCCGUGCCAGCAGCCGCGGUAAUACGGAGGAUCCGAGCGUUAUCCGGAUUUAUUGGGUUUAAAGGGUGCGCAGGCGGGUAUAUAAGUCAGAGGUGAAAUUCUACGGCUCAACUGUAGAACUGCCUUUGAUACUGUAUAUCUAGAGUAUAUUUGGAGUGGGCGGAAUGUAGCAUGUAGCGGUGAAAUGCUUAGAUAUGCUACAGAACACCGAUCGUGAAGACAGCUCACUAAACUAUAACUGACGCUCAGGCACGAAAGCGUGGGGAGCAAACAGGAUUAGAUACCCUGGUAGUCCACGCCGUAAACGAUGAUUACUCGCUGUUGGCGAUACACAGUCAGCGGCUAAGCGAAAGUGAUAAGUAAUCCACCUGGGGAGUACGAUCGCAAGAUUGAAACUCAAAGGAAUUGACGGGGGCCCGCACAAGCGGAGGAGCAUGUGGUUUAAUUCGACGCAACGCGAGAACCUUACCUAGGCUUGACAUGUUGGAGAACGCCCUGGAACAGGGAACUCUUUGGACACUCCAUCACAGGUGGUGC